ACUCCUACGGGAGGCAGCAGUGGGGAAUAUUGCACAAUGGGCGCAAGCCUGAUGCAGCCAUGCCGCGUGUAUGAAGAAGGCCUUCGGGUUGUAAAGUACUUUCAGCAGUGAGGAAGGUGGUAGUGUUAAUAGCACUAUCAUUUGACGUUAGCUGCAGAAGAAGCACCGGCUAACUCCGUGCCAGCAGCCGCGGUAAUACGGAGGGUGCGAGCGUUAAUCGGAAUUACUGGGCGUAAAGCGCAUGCAGGUGGUUUGUUAAGUCAGAUGUGAAAGCCCGGGGCUCAACCUCGGAAUUGCAUUUGAAACUGGCAGACUAGAGUACUGUAGAGGGGGGUAGAAUUUCAGGUGUAGCGGUGAAAUGCGUAGAGAUCUGAAGGAAUACCGGUGGCGAAGGCGGCCCCCUGGACAGAUACUGACACUCAGAUGCGAAAGCGU
Molecule: ribosomal RNA, 435 nt
Filed under: uncultured bacterium
Lineage: Bacteria
Description: bacterial SSU rRNA
Rfam family: Bacterial small subunit ribosomal RNA
Source: RNAcentral